Molecule: long non-coding RNA, 263 nt
Filed under: Mytilus galloprovincialis (Mediterranean mussel)
Lineage: Eukaryota; Metazoa; Mollusca; Bivalvia; Mytilida; Mytilidae
Source: RNAcentral
CAGACGUUUAUCCAACUGUACGACAAGCCACACCUGGACCAAUAGAUACCGGAACAGCAGUAACCUUGAUAUGUUCUGUUCCUGGAGGCAAUCCUUUGGCAACACUGACAUGGGAUUGUCAGGGUAUCACUUCAAACACCUCGACAGAAACUGAAGCAGUGUUAGAAAUUGAGUUUACAGUGGACAAAAAUUAUAAUGGAAGAAUCUGUAGUUGUUCUGCUACUCAUCCUAUAGUAACUUACAGACCCACAUCUCAAAUUUCA